This 120-nucleotide ribosomal RNA is filed under the name Erinaceus europaeus (western European hedgehog). The record is from RNAcentral. Lineage: Eukaryota; Metazoa; Chordata; Mammalia; Eulipotyphla; Erinaceidae.
CACUGAACACGCUGAACAUGCCCAGUCUCACCUGAUCUUGGAUACUAAUCAGGGUAGGGCCUGAUUAGUAUUUGGAUGGGAGAAACAUAAUUGCAACCCAAAACAGAAGUACUACAGUGC